RNAcentral lists this ribosomal RNA (253 nucleotides) under uncultured bacterium. RNAcentral describes it as "partial 16S ribosomal RNA". It matches the Rfam family "Bacterial small subunit ribosomal RNA", at positions 524 to 776 of the family's 1533-position model. The record is from RNAcentral.
UACGGAGGGUGCGAGCGUUGUCCGGAAUCACUGGGCGUAAAGGGCGCGUAGGCGGCGCGGAAAGUCAACGGUGAAAGCUUGGGGCUCAACCCCGAGUCGGCCGUCGAUACUUCCGUGCUCGAGCACUGUAGAGGCAGGUGGAAUUCCGGGUGUAGCGGUGGAAUGCGUAGAGAUCCGGAAGAACACCGGUGGCGAAGGCGGCCUGCUGGGCUAUGGCUGACACUGAGGCGCGACAGCGUGGGGAGCAGACAGG